Long non-coding RNA from Oryzias melastigma (Indian medaka), 390 nucleotides. RefSeq lists it as uncharacterized. The transcript has 2 exons. The record is from RefSeq and is a predicted model, not a curated record. Lineage: Eukaryota; Metazoa; Chordata; Actinopteri; Beloniformes; Adrianichthyidae.
GUAACCCAGAAGUAAAUGUAUGGUUUUUUGUUCGUAAUGAAAUCUCACCAAAAUCCUUAUUUCCAUUUAUGGAAAGGUAUUUUUGUUUACCUUUUAUUGGUUUUGUUUGUACGGGGUUUACUGCCCCCUUCUGGAGAUCACGCGAGACUUAAGACGUGAUUCACGUCUUGUCUUCAGUUCGCGCCAUCUCCCGUUAAAGAAGGAAUUAAUGUUCUGGAGACCUGCAGUCACGGAUUUGUUAUUGUCCAUUCAUGUCAGGUAUGUGCAAUGAUGUCGUGUCCGCGGAGUUCGCGCCAUCUCCCGUUAAAGAAGGAAUUAAUGUUCUGGAGACCUGCAGUCACGGAUUUGUUAUUGUCCAUUCAUGUCAGAAUAAAACAGAGAGAACCCGAA